UGCCUGGCACGGCCGUGCCAGGCACCGCUUGCGACGGUGGCUCAGCCGACCGGCGGGCGGAU
Molecule: non-coding RNA, 62 nt
Filed under: unclassified sequences
Source: RNAcentral